Molecule: long non-coding RNA, 1526 nt
Organism: Branchiostoma floridae (Florida lancelet)
Lineage: Eukaryota; Metazoa; Chordata; Leptocardii; Amphioxiformes; Branchiostomatidae
Exons: 2
Source: RefSeq, a predicted model, not a curated record
CUGAAUUCGCAAUUCUCUCUAGACAAGCUCAGGUGUGCUGCAUCUUUUGUACUAAUUGUAGCCUUGCCAUUUUUUUCUCUCCUGAACAGACACUGGUGUGCUUGUACUGAUGACUGAGUAUGUUUCUCUGUACAGGAAACUGCAGGUGGGGGUUAGGGGGCUCUGGGUAGUGUUGGCUUAGCAGCUGCACUCUAUACCAUUAGAGUGGCUAAGCACACAGUUCCUCUUGCUACACUCUAAAUCAUAGUGUGACUAGCUUACUGGUUCCACCCAUCCCCUAAAGCCUCUCACGUCUGGCUCCACGUGCCAACCCCUGGACAACGGCUUCAGCUGGCCGACCAAACGACGUGAGGGGGCGGUGUUGACACAGCACUGUCAGGUAGAUUUUCAGUGGUGAGGUCUGUCUGGACUACCAACAGAAAGGCAAUCAAUCAUGGCCAACCUGGAGAGGGCAUGGACAGCAGCAGUCCAUACUGAUAUGCUUUGUGUAAAUAGUGUAAAUAAGAGUACAACUUCAGACAGUUCCUGAGUUACUGUAAAGUACUGUAAGUUAAAUUAUUACCGUAGUAGUUUUAUUUGUGGUAGGACUGAUAAGGAGAUUUUCAUUUUGUCUCAAAUUCGUGGUUGAAACAAUUCUGCAGUACAAUAACUAUGCAUUUGAAUGCACCUUUUCAGUGUCAUAAUUUGCUGAGAAUAGUCAGUGCAGAAAUCAAAAAUAAAAGAUCUGUGUAACAAUAAUUUGCCUGGUGUUACACAAUUGGUAAGUGAUGCUAGGGAUUCUGAUUAUAGAUUUAUAUUCAAGUAAUUCUUUUAUAAGCCAUGAGUGUUUUCCUGAAUAGGUAUGAUGUAAUGUAUAUUCUGCAAUUUCAGGACGAAAGCUGAGACACUUCUCCUACAAGUAAAGAAUUGAGCCUGAGCGGGAACGUUACGCUAGCAGCAGUUCAUAACAUAUCGAGACCUCCAGGGGAUGACGGUCUAUCAAGUCCAGUCAGGGGAUGAUGCCUGCUGUCCCAUAGUUUCACUUUUAGCAUAGCAUGAAAUUAAAGCUUCAAGUCAUGAUGUAAUAGACAGGAAAAUAACAGACAGUUCUGUAUUUGGUCAGUCAGGUAACACCAACAAAGUGUUUUAUGAGCGGAGUACAGCAGAGCACUCUGGUGGGGCAGGCAUAGAGUGAAGUAAAGCAAUUUGUUUAGGAACUGCUCAUUUUUUUGAGUUUUGAUUUACUUAUAAGAAGGCAAACCCAAUAACUCAGGAUCUAGAGUUAGCUUUUGGACUAGAGUAGACACUUGUGAUAUUUUUUUUACCUUGUUUGAAUUUCUCAUGUUACCUGCAAUUAGUCCAUGGGCAAGAAUUUACAGUAAACUCAUUACUUUGGCAUGAUAAGAAGAUAAAAUAACUGGUUUUACAAAAUAUGCUGAAGAUAAAUGCAAAUUGCAGAACACAGAUGUACAAGGAAUAAGAUCAAUAUUGGUCAUAUAAAAGGAUAUGUUAAGUAUUUUAAUAAAGAAUCUCAUCCUCUACCACAA